This 125-nucleotide non-coding RNA is filed under the name uncultured Collinsella sp. RNAcentral's name for it is "FMN riboswitch (RFN element)". It matches the Rfam family "FMN riboswitch aptamer (RFN element)". From Rfam's summary of the family: The RFN element is a highly conserved domain that is found frequently in the 5'-untranslated regions of prokaryotic mRNAs that encode for flavin mononucleotide (FMN) biosynthesis and transport proteins. This element is a metabolite-dependent riboswitch that directly binds FMN in the absence of proteins. Lineage: Bacteria; Bacillati; Actinomycetota; Coriobacteriia; Coriobacteriales; Coriobacteriaceae. The record is from RNAcentral.
GUUUCAGGGCGGGGUGAGAUUCCCCACCGGCGGUAAGCAGCAGGCGCUGCAAGCCCGCGAACCGCAACCAUGCGGCCGAUCCGGUGCGAUUCCGGAGCCGACGGUCACAGUCCGGAUGAAAGAAA